This is a long non-coding RNA of Homo sapiens (human), 6289 nucleotides long. RefSeq annotates it as SPECC1L-ADORA2A readthrough (NMD candidate). Lineage: Eukaryota; Metazoa; Chordata; Mammalia; Primates; Hominidae. The record is from RefSeq and is marked validated.
UGGCCAAGGGCGGGGCCCGCGAGGGAGGCCGGGCGGCCCGGCAAGCGGCGCUGCGGGGUAGGCUGCUUUCCUGAGGCCGGACUCAACGGGUCUCGGCUGAGCCACCGGGUGAGCUCACCGCCCAGCCCAAACCAGGAGAUUGCGAGGGAGCGAUGCGGUGCAGCGCGUGUUCUUGGGGAAGAUCCCGACUAAGCCAUUUUCCAGUGGCACCUCUUCCAUCAUGAGUUCCUGAGGCAGUCCGAUGGGGCUACUUUAUUCCAGAACAAUCACAAUUUGCUUGUAAAUGCAUCACGAAGAGGCAGCCCAGAAUGAAGAAAGCAAGCAGGAGUGUUGGCUCAGUGCCUAAAGUGUCUGCAAUAAGUAAAACGCAAACAGCAGAAAAAAUUAAACCUGAAAACAGCUCUUCAGCAUCUACGGGAGGCAAACUUGUAAAACCUGGAACAGCAGCAUCAUUGUCAAAGACCAAGAGCAGUGAUGACCUUUUAGCUGGAAUGGCCGGAGGGGUAACGGUGACUAAUGGUGUUAAAGGAAAGAAAAGCACCUGCCCAUCUGCAGCACCUUCAGCAUCUGCCCCUGCCAUGACCACCGUGGAGAACAAAUCCAAGAUUAGCACAGGCACAGCUUCUUCAACCAAGCGGAGCACUUCUACAGGUAAUAAAGAAUCCAGUUCUACUAGAGAAAGAUUACGUGAACGUACCCGAUUAAACCAGAGCAAAAAACUACCUUCUGCAGGUCAGGGAGCUAAUGACAUGGCAUUGGCCAAACGUUCCCGCAGUCGAACUGCUACAGAAUGUGACGUUCGUAUGAGCAAGUCUAAGUCAGACAAUCAGAUCAGUGACAGAGCUGCUUUGGAGGCCAAAGUGAAGGAUCUUCUCACGCUGGCAAAAACCAAAGACGUAGAAAUUUUACAUUUGAGAAAUGAACUGCGAGACAUGCGUGCCCAGCUGGGCAUUAAUGAGGAUCAUUCUGAGGGUGAUGAAAAAUCUGAGAAGGAAACUAUUAUGGCUCACCAGCCGACUGAUGUGGAGUCCACUUUAUUGCAGUUGCAGGAACAGAAUACUGCCAUCCGUGAAGAACUCAACCAGCUGAAAAAUGAAAACAGAAUGUUAAAGGACAGGUUGAAUGCAUUGGGCUUUUCCCUAGAGCAGAGGUUAGACAAUUCUGAAAAACUGUUUGGCUAUCAGUCCCUGAGCCCAGAAAUCACCCCUGGUAACCAGAGCGAUGGAGGAGGAACUCUGACUUCUUCAGUGGAAGGCUCUGCCCCUGGCUCAGUGGAGGAUCUCUUGAGUCAGGAUGAAAAUACACUAAUGGACCAUCAGCACAGUAACUCCAUGGACAAUUUAGACAGUGAGUGCAGUGAGGUCUACCAGCCCCUCACAUCGAGCGAUGAUGCGCUGGAUGCACCAUCCUCCUCAGAGUCGGAAGGCAUCCCCAGCAUAGAGCGCUCCCGGAAGGGGAGCAGCGGGAAUGCCAGUGAAGUGUCCGUGGCUUGCCUGACUGAACGGAUACACCAGAUGGAAGAGAACCAACACAGUACAAGUGAGGAACUCCAGGCAACCCUGCAAGAGCUAGCUGAUUUACAGCAGAUUACCCAGGAACUGAAUAGUGAAAACGAAAGGCUUGGAGAAGAGAAGGUUAUUCUGAUGGAGUCUUUAUGUCAGCAGAGCGAUAAGUUGGAACACUUUAGUCGACAGAUUGAAUACUUCCGCUCUCUUCUAGAUGAGCAUCACAUUUCUUAUGUCAUAGAUGAAGAUGUAAAAAGUGGGCGCUAUAUGGAAUUAGAGCAACGUUACAUGGACCUCGCUGAGAAUGCCCGUUUUGAACGGGAGCAGCUUCUUGGUGUCCAGCAGCAUUUAAGCAAUACUUUGAAAAUGGCAGAACAAGACAAUAAGGAAGCUCAAGAAAUGAUAGGGGCACUCAAAGAACGCAGUCACCAUAUGGAGCGAAUUAUUGAGUCUGAGCAGAAAGGAAAAGCAGCCUUGGCAGCCACGUUAGAGGAAUACAAAGCCACAGUGGCCAGUGACCAGAUAGAGAUGAAUCGCCUGAAGGCUCAGCUGGAGAAUGAAAAGCAGAAAGUGGCAGAGCUGUAUUCUAUCCAUAACUCUGGAGACAAAUCUGAUAUUCAGGACCUCCUGGAGAGUGUCAGGCUGGACAAAGAAAAAGCAGAGACUUUGGCUAGUAGCUUGCAGGAAGAUCUGGCUCAUACCCGAAAUGAUGCCAAUCGAUUACAGGAUGCCAUUGCUAAGGUAGAGGAUGAAUACCGAGCCUUCCAAGAAGAAGCUAAGAAACAAAUUGAAGAUUUGAAUAUGACGUUAGAAAAAUUAAGAUCAGACCUGGAUGAAAAAGAAACAGAAAGGAGUGACAUGAAAGAAACCAUCUUUGAACUUGAAGAUGAAGUAGAACAACAUCGUGCUGUGAAACUUCAUGACAACCUCAUUAUUUCUGAUCUAGAGAAUACAGUUAAAAAACUCCAGGACCAAAAGCACGACAUGGAAAGAGAAAUAAAGACACUCCACAGAAGACUUCGGGAAGAAUCUGCGGAAUGGCGGCAGUUUCAGGCUGAUCUCCAGACUGCAGUAGUCAUUGCAAAUGACAUUAAAUCUGAAGCCCAAGAGGAGAUUGGUGAUCUAAAGCGCCGGUUACAUGAGGCUCAAGAAAAAAAUGAGAAACUCACAAAAGAAUUGGAGGAAAUAAAGUCACGCAAGCAAGAGGAGGAGCGAGGCCGGGUAUACAAUUACAUGAAUGCCGUUGAGAGAGAUUUGGCAGCCUUAAGGCAGGGAAUGGGACUGAGUAGAAGGUCCUCGACUUCCUCAGAGCCAACUCCUACAGUAAAAACCCUCAUCAAGUCCUUUGACAGUGCAUCUCAAGUACCAAACCCUGCUGCAGCUGCAAUUCCUCGAACGCCCCUGAGCCCAAGUCCUAUGAAAACCCCUCCUGCAGCAGCUGUGUCCCCUAUGCAGAUGGAGUCUAGUUCUGUCGCCCACGCUGGAAUGCAGUGGCGUGACCUUGGCUCACUGCAACCUCUGCCUCCUGGGUUCAAGUGAUUCUCCUGCCUCAGCCCCCUGAGUAGCUGGGACUACAGAGACAUUCCAUAAGUGGACCAAUCUCAACAUCCAAACCCCUGACAGCCCUGUCAGAUAAGAGACCAAACUAUGGGGAAAUCCCUGUUCAAGAGCAUCUGUUAAGAACAUCUUCAGCCAGCCGGCCUGCUUCCCUGCCAAGAGUGCCUGCGAUGGAAAGUGCCAAGACCCUCUCAGUGUCUCGACGAAGUAGUGAAGAAGUGAAACGGGACAUUUCUGCACAGGAGGGAGCGUCGCCAGCCUCUCUGAUGGCUAUGGGAACCACGUCUCCACAGCUUUCCCUGUCCUCUUCUCCAACGGCAUCUGUGACUCCCACCACCCGAAGCCGAAUAAGAGAAGAAAGGAAAGACCCUCUCUCAGCAUUGGCCAGAGAAUAUGGAGGAUCAAAGAGGAACGCCUUGCUGAAGUGGUGUCAGAAGAAAACAGAAGGCUAUCAGAAUAUUGACAUUACAAACUUCAGCAGCAGCUGGAAUGAUGGGCUGGCCUUCUGUGCCCUCCUGCAUACAUAUCUCCCUGCCCACAUUCCAUAUCAAGAACUGAACAGCCAGGAUAAGAGAAGGAACUUCAUGCUGGCUUUCCAGGCAGCUGAAAGUGUCGGCAUCAAAUCCACACUGGACAUUAAUGAAAUGGUACGGACUGAACGACCCGACUGGCAGAACGUGAUGCUGUAUGUGACGGCGAUCUACAAGUACUUUGAGACCUGAGCAUGCCGGGAGGAGCCGCCCCAAUAGCGGGGGUACCCCUCCACAGCGACCGAGCGACACCGACGCCAUUAGCUACGCACCCCUGUAAAGCUUCCAGCAACUCUGGGCUGCCCCACAGCGUGUGCCUCAGGAACCCUGAAGCUGGGCUGAGCCAUGAUGCUGCUGCCAGAACCCCUGCAGAGGGCCUGGUUUCAGGAGACUCAGAGUCCUCUGUGAAAAAGCCCUUGGAGAGCGCCCCAGCAGGGCUGCACUUGGCUCCUGUGAGGAAGGGGCUCAGGGGUCUGGGCCCCUCCGCCUGGGCCGGGCUGGGAGCCAGGCGGGCGGCUGGGCUGCAGCAAUGGACCGUGAGCUGGCCCAGCCCGCGUCCGUGCUGAGCCUGCCUGUCGUCUGUGGCCAUGCCCAUCAUGGGCUCCUCGGUGUACAUCACGGUGGAGCUGGCCAUUGCUGUGCUGGCCAUCCUGGGCAAUGUGCUGGUGUGCUGGGCCGUGUGGCUCAACAGCAACCUGCAGAACGUCACCAACUACUUUGUGGUGUCACUGGCGGCGGCCGACAUCGCAGUGGGUGUGCUCGCCAUCCCCUUUGCCAUCACCAUCAGCACCGGGUUCUGCGCUGCCUGCCACGGCUGCCUCUUCAUUGCCUGCUUCGUCCUGGUCCUCACGCAGAGCUCCAUCUUCAGUCUCCUGGCCAUCGCCAUUGACCGCUACAUUGCCAUCCGCAUCCCGCUCCGGUACAAUGGCUUGGUGACCGGCACGAGGGCUAAGGGCAUCAUUGCCAUCUGCUGGGUGCUGUCGUUUGCCAUCGGCCUGACUCCCAUGCUAGGUUGGAACAACUGCGGUCAGCCAAAGGAGGGCAAGAACCACUCCCAGGGCUGCGGGGAGGGCCAAGUGGCCUGUCUCUUUGAGGAUGUGGUCCCCAUGAACUACAUGGUGUACUUCAACUUCUUUGCCUGUGUGCUGGUGCCCCUGCUGCUCAUGCUGGGUGUCUAUUUGCGGAUCUUCCUGGCGGCGCGACGACAGCUGAAGCAGAUGGAGAGCCAGCCUCUGCCGGGGGAGCGGGCACGGUCCACACUGCAGAAGGAGGUCCAUGCUGCCAAGUCACUGGCCAUCAUUGUGGGGCUCUUUGCCCUCUGCUGGCUGCCCCUACACAUCAUCAACUGCUUCACUUUCUUCUGCCCCGACUGCAGCCACGCCCCUCUCUGGCUCAUGUACCUGGCCAUCGUCCUCUCCCACACCAAUUCGGUUGUGAAUCCCUUCAUCUACGCCUACCGUAUCCGCGAGUUCCGCCAGACCUUCCGCAAGAUCAUUCGCAGCCACGUCCUGAGGCAGCAAGAACCUUUCAAGGCAGCUGGCACCAGUGCCCGGGUCUUGGCAGCUCAUGGCAGUGACGGAGAGCAGGUCAGCCUCCGUCUCAACGGCCACCCGCCAGGAGUGUGGGCCAACGGCAGUGCUCCCCACCCUGAGCGGAGGCCCAAUGGCUAUGCCCUGGGGCUGGUGAGUGGAGGGAGUGCCCAAGAGUCCCAGGGGAACACGGGCCUCCCAGACGUGGAGCUCCUUAGCCAUGAGCUCAAGGGAGUGUGCCCAGAGCCCCCUGGCCUAGAUGACCCCCUGGCCCAGGAUGGAGCAGGAGUGUCCUGAUGAUUCAUGGAGUUUGCCCCUUCCUAAGGGAAGGAGAUCUUUAUCUUUCUGGUUGGCUUGACCAGUCACGUUGGGAGAAGAGAGAGAGUGCCAGGAGACCCUGAGGGCAGCCGGUUCCUACUUUGGACUGAGAGAAGGGAGCCCCAGGCUGGAGCAGCAUGAGGCCCAGCAAGAAGGGCUUGGGUUCUGAGGAAGCAGAUGUUUCAUGCUGUGAGGCCUUGCACCAGGUGGGGGCCACAGCACCAGCAGCAUCUUUGCUGGGCAGGGCCCAGCCCUCCACUGCAGAAGCAUCUGGAAGCACCACCUUGUCUCCACAGAGCAGCUUGGGCACAGCAGACUGGCCUGGCCCUGAGACUGGGGAGUGGCUCCAACAGCCUCCUGCCACCCACACACCACUCUCCCUAGACUCUCCUAGGGUUCAGGAGCUGCUGGGCCCAGAGGUGACAUUUGACUUUUUUCCAGGAAAAAUGUAAGUGUGAGGAAACCCUUUUUAUUUUAUUACCUUUCACUCUCUGGCUGCUGGGUCUGCCGUCGGUCCUGCUGCUAACCUGGCACCAGAGCCUCUGCCCGGGGAGCCUCAGGCAGUCCUCUCCUGCUGUCACAGCUGCCAUCCACUUCUCAGUCCCAGGGCCAUCUCUUGGAGUGACAAAGCUGGGAUCAAGGACAGGGAGUUGUAACAGAGCAGUGCCAGAGCAUGGGCCCAGGUCCCAGGGGAGAGGUUGGGGCUGGCAGGCCACUGGCAUGUGCUGAGUAGCGCAGAGCUACCCAGUGAGAGGCCUUGUCUAACUGCCUUUCCUUCUAAAGGGAAUGUUUUUUUCUGAGAUAAAAUAAAAACGAGCCACAUCGUGUUUUAAGCUUGUCCAAAUGAGAA